This 26-nucleotide non-coding RNA is filed under the name Rattus norvegicus (Norway rat). The record is from RNAcentral. Lineage: Eukaryota; Metazoa; Chordata; Mammalia; Rodentia; Muridae.
UAGUAAAGAGUGUCUAGAGGGCCGGC